UCCAUGGCAAAAAGACAUCUUGCAGCUGCUUUAGAGAAGUGACAUGUUGACAAAGCCAGGGAGCCAUUCCUCCUCCCAAACUGGAUUAAACAGCCUGUAGUGACCACAGUAAUUUAGUUUCUAAGAAGACUGUUUGCACAACUAUAGGACAAAAUGUUUCUUGCCACCACAGUCCUGUACAAACCCUCUUAAUCUCUGCUCUAGUGGCCCAUUUUAUUCAGAGCUAUGGAAUAAACCAGGAAAGAACUCCAAAGGAAAAAAGAGUCCCCCCCCAAUAACUGCUGGGGGUUUGCACAGCCACCCCAGUGUAAUACUGGUGAAACUGGGUCCCGCAUCUCAGGACCCAGCUUUAUUUUCUAGCUUUCCAAGAGCGUGGUAUUUGUUCCUGCCAGACUGGAAGCAAAUGAGCUCUCUUGUUUUGCUGGUAGGAACACAGUGAAUCACUUCUGAGCUAUUUGCUGUCUCUAAAUGUGUCCUCGCAUGUGUUGGCAGGUGUUCAGCACUCAGUGGGAGAGCCUCACCACCUGUCUGUCCUCGUAGAUAAAGGGAGCACCUAUUUCAACCAAAUUAAAUGAGCGAACAUCCAGUUCUUCUGCUGCAGCACCUCACCGACAGCAUGUAUGUAAUUACUUGCACGCUUUGCCUCCUACGACCUCUGCAGAGCCUUUGUUUUCCAAGGUAAUUUCCCAUUCUUUGUGUAUGACUCUCUCUCUAGGAGCAUGGAUUUAUAAUUUCACUUUUGUGCAGUUAAAUGUGUUUUGUGCUGACUAGUUCAAAACAAGCUGACUAGCUUCUGAACUUUCCACAUGCCUUACCUGAACAUAUCACACUUUGAGGCACUGGUACAGCUCACAUGGCUCUCUUUGCUCCUUUCCAGGACAUUACACACGCUAUUAACCAUCCUGGGACAGAUAACAUUGUAAAAUGUCAAUACAGAGUCUCUUCGUGUUUUAAAGGUUUAUUAGAUAUUUCUAAUGCUGUGGCUAUGUGCAAUUUUCUGACUGCUGUGGUGAUCUAUGGGCUUUGCCAAGGAAGGAGAGGGAUGAGCUGUGCCUUCCCCAUGCUUACAGAGUAAAUAUGAAGACUUGUUGAGUUGACCACUACUGUGGGCCACAGCUUCAAUGUGACUGACAAAGAGUUUUUGAGACUGAGAUCUACUUCAAAUUCACUCUAGUGCUGUCCACUGUGAAUGGGGUGUAGCACAGCAUUGGGCUAGUUAACGCCAAAGGCAGUAAUUUUAUUUCAAACUUCUGGCUCUUGAUUUUCUGAAGUUCAACAAAAAAUGGACAGAACCAAGUGCUGCAGUGUAGCUAUGGUGUGUAUUUGAUAUCAGCCUUCAGCUGAGCUGGGUAGGGUCACUGUUUCAAUGCAGAGCUUGUGGCUGGCUCCUCUCCUUUUUGACACUGGAGAACAGCAGGCAGAACUGUGCUCUUCAGACGAUCGAGACAGGGUCUCUGUCAAAGCCCUCUGCCUUGAUGUUGGCCAAAAGUUUUGGUCAUGUUGGCCUGCAGUUGCUUCUCUAAGAACCUUGGAAACAGCAAUGUAACUGUUUUGUUUGGUUGUUUUCUUUAUCUCGUUGGUUUUCUGGGUACCAGUGCUAAGCUCAAUGAGUAGUUUUACACCCUCCCCACUCCUUUGAGUGGCAUGUCAAUCCCAGUGGAAGGCUGUUCUACACAAACUUUACUGAAAAGGUUAUGAGGCAUUGGAAUGGGCUGCCCAGGAUGGUUCAUUCACCAUCCCUGGAGGUCUUUAAAAGACGUGUAGACGUAGAGCUCAGUGAUAUGGUUUAGUGGAGGACUUGUUAGGGUUAGGUCAGAGGUUGGACGAGGUGAUCUUGGAGGUCUCUUCCAACCGAGAUGAUUCUGUGAAGGCGUGCGAAAACCGUCGUUAACCGGUGCCGCGUGUGGGGUGUUCCCUUUUACCCCCCGACCCCUCGGGGAGUCCCGGUGAGCCCUGCUCCCGCCUGGCCGCUCCGUGGGGAGCCGUGUGGCGGCGGGGCCGCUGCCGGGCGGUGUCGGGGCUCGGUGCAGCUCGGUGCCGCCGCCGCCCCCCGCACAUGCUCACUGGGGCUCCGC
RNAcentral lists this long non-coding RNA (2075 nucleotides) under Anas platyrhynchos platyrhynchos (common mallard). Its description in RNAcentral is "lncRNA (ENSAPLG00000020934.1)". The record is from RNAcentral. Lineage: Eukaryota; Metazoa; Chordata; Aves; Anseriformes; Anatidae.